Molecule: ribosomal RNA, 253 nt
Filed under: uncultured bacterium
Lineage: Bacteria
Description: partial 16S ribosomal RNA
Rfam family: Bacterial small subunit ribosomal RNA
Source: RNAcentral
UACGGAGGGUGCAAGCGUUAUCCGGAUUCAUUGGGUUUAAAGGGUGCGUAGGUGGGAAUUUAAGUCAGUGGUGAAAGCCUGCAGCUCAACUGUAGAAUUGCCAUUGAUACUGAUUUCCUUGAGUGCAGAUGAGGUGGGCGGAAUGUGACAUGUAGCGGUGAAAUGCUUAGAUAUGUCACAGAACACCGAUUGCGAAGGCAGCUCACUAAACUGUUACUGACACUGAUGCACGAAAGCGUGGGGAUCAAACAGG